This 492-nucleotide ribosomal RNA is filed under the name uncultured bacterium. RNAcentral's name for it is "partial 16S ribosomal RNA". It matches the Rfam family "Bacterial small subunit ribosomal RNA", at positions 29 to 507 of the family's 1533-position model. The record is from RNAcentral.
AGUGAACGCUGGCGGUAGGCCUAACACAUGCAAGUCGAACGGCAGCACAGUAAGAGCUUUCUCUUACGGUUUGCGAGUGUCGUACGGUUGAUGAAUACAUCGGAAUCUACUUUUUCUUGUUGGAUAACGUAGUUAAACUUACGCUAUUACCUCAUACUACCUACGGUUGAAUGCAGUGGAUCUUCGCACCUUUCUCGUUUUAAUGAGCCGAUGUCGGAUUAGCUAGUUGGCGGGGUAAAGGCCCACCAAGGCGACGAUCCGUAUCUGGUCUGAUAGGAUGAUCAGCCACACUGGAAGUGAGAAACGGACCAGACUACUACGGGAGGAAGAAGAGGGGAAUAUUGGACAAUGGGCGAAAGCAUGAUCCAGCAAUACCGCGUGGGUGAAGAAGGCCUUCGGGUUGUAAAGCCCUUUUGUUGGGAAAGAAAAGCAGCAGGUUAAUAACACGAUGUUGUGACGGUAACCAAAGAAUAAGCACCGGCUAACUUCGUG